ACAAAACCAAGUAGAACCUAACUUUCAAAAACUGAGAAUCAGGUUGUAGACCGUAGAUAAACUCUAGAGAGAGAGAAGCUCCCUUUUAUCUCUAGAGUUUUCAACACUUCUUUUCACAAUGAGAGUCCACCGUCAGCACGAAUUUCACCACCCGCCACCUCCAUCUUCUUCCUCCCUUCUUACCAAUCCACCCUCACCCACAAUUAUCACCCCCUUAUACACCCUCUGUGGUGUUUUGUACUUGUUUUGUUGAUAUCUAGAGGGUCUAAUCCCUCCUUGCUUGAUUUCUUAUCUUCUUCUUAUCAAUUUAUCCCCAAAAAAUUUUAGAUUUGACAUAAUCCUCCAUGAUCUCUUUCACCAACACCUCAUAUCAUCUCUCUUCUACUUUCUUAGAUUACUUCCAUGAAAGUUCCCAUGGCUUCCAUGAAAGUUCCCAUGGCUGCCUUUCAAAAGUGAAAAUCACUUACCUAGGAGAGUAUGGAUGCUCACACAUGGGUUUCUCAAUCACCAUUCUCUAUUGUAACAAUUCUUUGCUUUUAGCUUAUAUUGUUCUCCGGUGGCCUCGGCUCUUCAUGGAUGGUGCAUCUUUGGUGGAGAAGAGAAAAGUGGUUCAAGGUGUGCUCGCUUUGAAUGCAUUAAUUGUACAAAUAUAAAACAUCAAGGUGGAACAUCCAAGAAAACUGGAGCACUAAUAGCUAGUUAGCAAAAAUGGAAGUCGAUUAUCAGAAGAGCUGAUAGCGUAUAUACUGUCAAGGCUUUCUCCCAAAUCCCUGAUGCGUCUCAAAUGUGUGCAUAAAUCGUCAUGAUCAAUAGCUCCAUUCUCCAACUCUGUAACCAAACACUUCUCCAUUUCGAAUAAGCGCAACAACCUCUUCUCCUCCUCCACUACCAUCCUCUUCUUGCAUUUCGUCUAUGAAGACAUCAACACCUAGGAGAGAGACAUUUUAUUGUCAUCAUUCAAUCUUUUUCAUGAUAAUGAGACGACGACGAUGAUGAUGACAACAAUCUAGGUUCUGAUCUCGAUGACCUCAUUAUCCCGAAGGAUUUAAA
Molecule: long non-coding RNA, 1050 nt
Organism: Rosa chinensis
Lineage: Eukaryota; Viridiplantae; Streptophyta; Magnoliopsida; Rosales; Rosaceae
Exons: 2
Source: RefSeq, a predicted model, not a curated record